ACCGAGGAGGAAACUUUCAGAGGAAACUCAAGUAUUUUGGGAAUACUGCUGUUAUUGUGACACUAAACGUAGUUUUCAGAUGAUUUGAGGUGAGAAAGUGGUUGUAAAAACGUCCAAUGUGUGGUCAGUUUAUCCAGAUGAAGCUGAUUAAAAAUGAGCUCCAACGGUUUCAGAGAUGUGAGGUCCAGGUUAGACAGCUAUGAUGGACGGUCAGCCUCACUGUAGAGCUCCUUAUCUGGACCAGACUUUACAAUCUGCUGCUCUGACGCUUCUAUAGCGCUUCAACAGGAUAUUAGUAGUUUAUGUUGAUCUAACCGUCACACUUUGACCUCACACUUUAUUUGGAUUGUUCACAGAAAAAUCACUUUGAAAGAAGUUCAAGUUCACAACUUAAGAUCGUUCAUGUUUUACUCGCUCACUGACUGUGAUCAUAAGAACAGAUAGAAAUUAAAACAUAGAAGAUCAUUUAUUUACAAGUUUGGUUUCUGAGUGUUUUCACCACUAAAAAUAUGUAGUUUUUCUUCUUGUCUUUGUAGUUCUUUAUAUUUGCUUUUAGGGCUAAAUUUAAUUAAAUAGAAUUAAAAAUGGAGACAAUAAGAUAAAAAUAAAAGCAUCAGUUUUACUGCUUUACUAAAGAUCUUUUUUCUGUUUUCAUUUCUGCCGUGGAAGAGGAUAAACGUUGAUUAUUCAACAUGGAAAAUUAAAUUCCACUUAUCAACAAAUAAGCAAACAAACAUGAAGAUCAAAGUGUGUUAUUAGUCAUUUAUUGAAUAAAAAAGAAAGUUAUAAUAGUUUAAAACCCACAGGUAGAGCAAAUAAAAGUGGAGAAAGACGUAUUAAAAUCAUUGAUCUUGUUCAGGAAAAAUCAACCACUGCAAUGAAAAUAAAAACUCAGUUCGACAUUGAUUACAGCACAAGAUCUGUUCAAAGAAUUUAGACCAUGGAAGGGUUCAAAUACACCACAAUGUGAGGAAAACCUCCUUUAAUGGCCAAACAGAACAUUUAUAGAAUUAAAUAGGCAAAAAAAUGUUGAAUUUACAGAGUUCAAUGUAAUCUGGAUAGUCCUGGUGGGUUUAAAUUCUACUGGAAUCAUAUCGAUGCUGAAAACAUUUUGAUCCACAGAUAGCUAGGGUUAUGGGAGCUUUGAUGGAAAAAUACAAUCUGAUAGAAACCAGAAAUUCAGAAUCUGAUAAAAAAAAAAAAACUUAUGAAAAAACAUUGAAGCACUUAUUUAUUGUAAAAAUGAAAAAUGGAUCUAUCAAUAAGACAUAAAUGACAGAAGAGCACAGAAUACUUUGGAAAGAGUGACACAGAUGAAGGAAGUUCUCAUUUCAUCACUAGAACAGGACUUAAAGACUCACAUCAGGAUCAAGUG
Acanthochromis polyacanthus (spiny chromis) is the source of this 1375-nucleotide long non-coding RNA. RefSeq lists it as uncharacterized. The transcript has 2 exons. The record is from RefSeq and is a predicted model, not a curated record. NCBI's taxonomy places the organism in Eukaryota, Metazoa, Chordata, Actinopteri, Pomacentridae.